UGAGGGGGGCUGCUCCUAGUACGAGAGGACCGGAGUGGACGCAUCACUGGUGUUCGGGUUGUCAUGCCAAUGGCACUGCCCGGUAGCUAAAUGCGGAAGAGAUAAGUGCUGAAAGCAUCUAAGCACGAAACUUGCCCCGAGAUGAGUUCUCCCUGACUCCUUGAGAGUCCUGAAGGAACGUUGAAGACGACGACGUUGAUAGGCCGGGUGUGUAAGCGCAGUGAUGCGUUGAGCUAACCGGUACUAAUGAACCGUGAGGCUUAACCUU
Molecule: ribosomal RNA, 268 nt
Filed under: Escherichia coli
Lineage: Bacteria; Pseudomonadati; Pseudomonadota; Gammaproteobacteria; Enterobacterales; Enterobacteriaceae
Description: partial 23S ribosomal RNA
Rfam family: Bacterial large subunit ribosomal RNA
Source: RNAcentral